RNAcentral lists this ribosomal RNA (393 nucleotides) under uncultured bacterium. Its description in RNAcentral is "bacterial SSU rRNA". It matches the Rfam family "Bacterial small subunit ribosomal RNA", at positions 28 to 414 of the family's 1533-position model. The record is from RNAcentral.
GACGAACGCUGGCGGCGCGCUUAACACAUGCAAGUCGAGCGAGAACCUAGGCUUCGGCCUAGGGGACAGCGGCGAACGGGUGAGUAACACGUGGGUAAUCUGCCCUCGACAUCGGGAUAGCCCGGGGAAACCCGGAUUAAUACCGAAUGGCCCAUCCGCUUUUCGGAGCGGCUGGAAAAGGUAGCUUCGGCCUCCGGUCGAGGAGGAGCCCGCGGCGGAUUAGCUUGUUGGUGAGGUAAUGGCNCACCAAGGCGACGAUCCGUAGCUGGUCUGAGAGGACGAUCAGCCACACUGGGACUGAGACACGGCCCAGACUCCUACGGGAGGCAGCAGUGGGGAAUCUUGCGCAAUGGGCGAAAGCCUGACGCAGCGACGCCGCGUGAGGGAUGACGG